Molecule: ribosomal RNA, 433 nt
Filed under: uncultured bacterium
Lineage: Bacteria
Description: bacterial SSU rRNA
Rfam family: Bacterial small subunit ribosomal RNA
Source: RNAcentral
UGGGAACGCGAAGAACCUUACCUAGACUUGACAUCUCCUGAAUUACCCUUAAUCGGGGAAGCCCUUCGGGGCAGGAAGACAGGUGGUGCAUGGUUGUCGUCAGCUCGUGUCGUGAGAUGUUGGGUUAAGUCCCGCAACGAGCGCAACCCUUAUUGUUAGUUGCUACCAUUUAGUUGAGCACUCUAGCGAGACUGCCCGGGUUAACCGGGAGGAAGGUGGGGAUGACGUCAAAUCAUCAUGCCCCUUAUGUCUAGGGCUACACACGUGCUACAAUGGCUGGUACAGAGAGAUGCUAAACCGUGAGGUGGAGCCAAACUUUAAACCAGUCUCAGUUCGGAUUGUAGGCUGAAACUCGCCUACAUGAAGCUGGAGUUGCUAGUAAUCGCGAAUCAGAAUGUCGCGAUGAAUACGUUCCCGGGUCUUGUACACACCG